This 110-nucleotide non-coding RNA is filed under the name Thraustochytrium sp. LLF1b. Lineage: Eukaryota; Bigyra; Thraustochytrida; Thraustochytriidae. The record is from RNAcentral.
AGAAAUCUUCAAGCAUUUGGCAAUUUCAGACAAAGCUGGGGGCUUUUCUCUUUUAACGAACCGCUUGGCCCUCCCAGCAGCUCGUUAGUGAUAAAUUCACGCCGUUCUUU